GAACUGGCACCAUUAGGUGCCACUCAUACAUUAAUCAAAGAUGUAU
Non-coding RNA from Clonorchis sinensis, 46 nucleotides. NCBI's taxonomy places the organism in Eukaryota, Metazoa, Platyhelminthes, Trematoda, Opisthorchiida, Opisthorchiidae. The record is from Rfam.